Molecule: non-coding RNA, 73 nt
Organism: Podarcis lilfordi (Lilford's wall lizard)
Lineage: Eukaryota; Metazoa; Chordata; Lepidosauria; Squamata; Lacertidae
Source: the annotation of a GenBank genome assembly
GAGUGGAUAGCUCAGUCAGUACAGCAUGAGACUUUUAAUCUCAAGGUCAUGGGUUCGAUUCUCAUGUUGUGCA